UUAGCCGAAAAAAGGAGGAGGUUAUCAAUUCUUCGGAAUAUUUUGUUAUGGAUGUUAUCGCAAAAUUGGGACCACGUUAACUGAUUUAUGUAAUUCUUUUUUUUUUAGUAAAUGUGGUAACCAA
Molecule: long non-coding RNA, 124 nt
Organism: Rhagoletis zephyria (snowberry fruit fly)
Lineage: Eukaryota; Metazoa; Arthropoda; Insecta; Diptera; Tephritidae
Source: RefSeq, a predicted model, not a curated record